Molecule: long non-coding RNA, 688 nt
Filed under: Manihot esculenta (cassava)
Lineage: Eukaryota; Viridiplantae; Streptophyta; Magnoliopsida; Malpighiales; Euphorbiaceae
Description: long non-coding RNA (MESC_LNC003134)
Source: RNAcentral
AUGUUUCGAGCAUAAAUUAUCCAUUCUCUUCCAUUCCAUUUCUUGCACUAAAUUUGUUGUUGAAUUCAAGACAUUGAGGAAAAGCUCAUCCAUUCCAAAAUUGUAGCAAUUAACAAUCUUCCUUGUUUUGGUUGGCUAAAAACGAGAAGAGUAAAGGGAGAGAUUAAUUGAUGCAAUUUGGAGUUCUUCAAGGUUUAAUUAGAAUGGGACUAACAUUAAAGAGCUACAUUUGGAGUUUUAGACUUUUUUACUUUUAGUAGAGAGAAAAUCUUCUCUUACCCUUUUUUUUUUCUUGAGCUUUAGGCUCUUCUUCUAUCGGCUGUGUCUGGCCUUCCUUCGCACCAUCUAGAGAAAAGCCUUUCUUCCUCUAACUAGGGGAAAGCCUCUCUUCCUUUGACUCGGUGAUGGAUUUUCUCUUCCAAUCACCGGGUUGGGGUGUAUAUAUUUAUUCCUUCCUUUUGCUUUGUUUUUUUCUGUGUUUUGAGUCUAUAGAGCUUCUAUUUCAUAAGGAUUUAUAUGGCUGUAUUUGUGAUUCCUUACUUUCUUGUGUUGGUUUUAUUAGAUCUAAUGGUUGCAUGUUGUUUUACAGGUUCCUCCAUCAUUUUUGGGCUUCGUAUGUGUUCCUUUGUUUUAUUUUACUUUAGUGAGACUAAAUCGGAGAUGGAGUCUUAGCAUUUCUGAAGNNNNN